Molecule: ribosomal RNA, 288 nt
Filed under: uncultured bacterium
Lineage: Bacteria
Description: partial 16S ribosomal RNA
Rfam family: Bacterial small subunit ribosomal RNA
Source: RNAcentral
GACGAACGCUGGCGGCGUGCUUAACACAUGCAAGUCGAGCGGUAAGGCCCUUUCGGGGGUACACGAGCGGCGAACGGGUGAGUAACACGUGGGUGACCUGCCCUCAGCUCUGGGAUAAGCCCGUGGGAAACCGGGUCUAAUACUGGAUAUGACUCCAUGACGCAUGUUGUGGGGUGGAAAGCCUUGUGCGGCUGGAGGAUGGGGCCCGCGGCCUAUCAGCUUGUUGGUGGGGUGANGGGCCUACCAAGGCGACGACGGGUAGCCGGCCUGAGAGGGCGACCGGCCACA